This 283-nucleotide unclassified non-coding RNA is filed under the name uncultured Glomus. RNAcentral describes it as "sequence contains 18S rRNA gene". It matches the Rfam family "Eukaryotic small subunit ribosomal RNA", at positions 569 to 861 of the family's 1831-position model. Lineage: Eukaryota; Fungi; Glomeromycota; Glomeromycetes; Glomerales; Glomeraceae. The record is from RNAcentral.
AGCAGCCGCGGUAAUUCCAGCUCCAAUAGCGUAUAUUAAAGUUGCUGCAGUUAAAAGCUCGUAGUUGAAUUUCGGGAUCAAUAUGUUGGUCGUGCCUUGGUACGUACUAGCUCAUUGGUUUCUCCCUUCUGACGAACCAUGAUGUCAUUAAUUUGAUGUCAUGGGGAAUCAGGACUGUUACUUUGAAAAAUUGAGUGUUUAAAGCAGGCUCGCGCUUGAAUACAUUAGCAUGGAAUAAUGAAAUAGGACAUUUGAUUCUAUUUUGUUGGUUUCUAGGAUCGAU